This 497-nucleotide ribosomal RNA is filed under the name uncultured bacterium. RNAcentral describes it as "bacterial SSU rRNA". It matches the Rfam family "Bacterial small subunit ribosomal RNA", at positions 28 to 524 of the family's 1533-position model. The record is from RNAcentral.
GAUGAACGCUGGCUGUGUGCCUAAUACAUGCAUGUCGAACGAAGCACUUGUGCUUAGUGGCGAAUGGGUGAGUAACACGUACUUAAUCUACCCCGAAGUUUGGGACAACAAUUGGAAACGAUUGCUAAUACCGAAUAUUCCUUUUCCUCGCAUGGGGAAUUGGUAAAAGGCCCGUUUGGGUCGCCAAGAGAUGAGAGUGCGGUACAUUAGUUAGUUGGUAGGGUAAUGGCCUACCAAGACGAUGAUGUAUAGCGGGGUUGAGAAGCUGAACCGCCACACUGGGACUGAGAUACGGCCCAGACUCCUACGGGAGGCAGCAGUAGGGAAUAUUCCACAAUGAGCGAAAGCUUGAUGGAGCGACACAGCGUGCAGGAUGAAGGUCUUCGGAUUGUAAACUGCUGUUAUAAGGGAAGAAACACCAGACUAGGAAAUGAGUUUGGCUUGACGGUACCUUAUCAGAAAGCACCGGCAAACUAUGUGCCAGCCGCCGCCGUAAU